Molecule: long non-coding RNA, 2078 nt
Organism: Caretta caretta (loggerhead turtle)
Lineage: Eukaryota; Metazoa; Chordata; Testudines; Cheloniidae
Source: RefSeq, a predicted model, not a curated record
AGUGAACAUCAAAUAUUCUAGAGCAAGGGUGUAGAAGGGGUAUGGUGCUCCGACACCUCAGUGUCUUCCUCAGCGACCCUACGUCUCAUGGUCCCAUCCCCUGCCUCCCUUGUGGAAGUCUGGAUGGCAGACGGAGAGGAGCAUCAGUUGCCAGGAGCAGAACAGAGCUGGCAUGGUGCCAAGAGUGACUCCAUGAUGAAGAGGCUACUGCCUCAGGAGAGAGUAUGAGAAACCAGAGUUUGGGGCUGAGAGGAGCCACAGCAUUCAGGAAUUUAAGACAAACAGAUGGAAGAUGCCAAGACAAGUACUUUAACAGCUGGGAACUGGAAUACAGGCUGUGUUGUGUCCUGGUUUGACUCGAGGGAAUUUGGGUUCUCCUGAGACUCGUAUGGAAAUGACUGGAACAUGCAUCUGCUAGGGAGGUUUGUUAUCACAGCAUUGCAAGGUGAAAUUGUUUUAUCUUUCUGACUUUAAAUUUUUGUUUUUAUUUUCAGCUCUUCAGAUUUCGGAAAGUUCAGUUGGAAAGAGCAGCUGUGCUUGUUGGCAUUAGCUUUGAUUCAUAAAAGAUACAGGUGUGCUGCCAAAAAAUCCUAAACUGAAAGGAAAUCGGGUUACAUGAGUAAAGAUCAACACUACACAGAAACACUACCCUGUAGUGUAAGACAAGAAGUGAAGAGCUGUGUGCCCAGCUGAAAGCUGAGGGCAUGCAGCUGCCCAAGUUGGAAUCUGGCCAAGACUUGUGAGCCAACACCACUCGUUCAAUAUAAUAUAUAGGGUUGGAGAUAGAAGACUUGAAGCAGGUUGGGUUUCUCAGCCCCUGUUCAUUCUUCAGCUUCAUAUUUCGUAGGUGGUCUUAUCUCCACAUUCCCUUCCCUUUUGGUGGUUCUCCCUUACUCAUGGAUUUAUUUUAUACACAGUUGUGGGUUUUGAGAGGAUGGGGCCACUUCUUCAGUAAAGGAAUCUUCCAUAAUCUUCUAGGAGUAUGAGAGAGAGAGAGAGUCAAAUAGCUUCUUUUAGCAGCAGCCAUGGUGGAAAUAUUCUGCCCACCUCCCCAGAGAGGGGAGGGCAGUGUGCCCACAGCAGAUUUUAAUGUAUUCGUCAACACCAGACAGGUUCUGAUUAACCACAGUUGUGUCUUCCAGUGGAGCGUAAUGAUUAGGUCCAUCCAUCCUUUCUAUCACUGCAUGCUCCCUUCCAAACAAACCUCAUCAGUCAGUUAUUCUCCAUUAGACCUUUAUCAGACAGCAUUUAAACUGCCACUUGAAAUCAGCCACACUGAGUCUAUUAUUGGCAUUUCCACUUCUGUUUCCAGUUCUGAGUUUUUCAAAUUGAUGAACCUCCAUUAUCAUUGUAUAUAUUCUCCUCCUGUGACCUCAGAACCUUCAGCCAGUUCUCUUGUAUUUGUAUGUCUCAGUAUUAACCCCUUGUUCUCUCUUCUCUCCUUGCUCUCUCUGGCUUUCAAGGGGAGACUCAGUGCUGUGCAAGCAGGAAGCUACAUGUGUUUCAAGCAUCACAGGAUCUUCUCCUUCCCAGAGGCUAGUGAAGAUUAGAAGGCGAAAAAAAUGCACUCGCGACGAAAUGUUCUCUGAACUCAUGCUGUCCUCCCACUCUGACAGAGCACAGAUGAAUGCAUGGAGGCAGACAAUGUCAGAGUGCAGGAAAGCACAAAAUGACCAGGAGGAGAGGUGGCGGGCUGAAGAAAGUAAGUGGCGGGCUGAAGCUGAAAGGUGGUGGCAGCAUGAUGAGAGGAGGCAGGAGUCAAUGCUGAGGCUGCUGGAGGAUCAAACUAAUAUGCUCCAGCAUAUGGUUGAGCUGCAGGAAAGGCAGCUGGAGCACAGACCGCCGCUACAGCCCCUGUGUAACCAACCGCCCUCCUCCCCAAGUUCCAUAGCUUCCUCACCCAGACGCCCAAGAAUGCGGUGGGGGGGCCUCCGGCCACCCAGCCACUCCACCCCAGAGGAUUGCCCAAGCAACAGAAGGCUGGCAUUCAAUAAGUUUUAAAGUUUUAAACUUUUAAAGUGCUGUGUGACCUUGUCCUUCUCUACUCCACCACCCCUCCUGGGCUACCUUGGUAGUUA